AAGUCGUAACAAGGUUUCCGUAGGUGAACCUGCGGAAGGAUCAUUAACACGUAUCCAAACGUUAAACCCCCCUGUGAACCUUCACCUGUACUCGUACGUCCGUUAGAAAAAGCAGCAAUCCCUGGUAAAUCAUCGCCGAACAGUUUUCGAUUCAGGGAUGUCUGCAAGGAGCGUGCAUGUUGUGCGAGCAAGUGGCCUGGCAUCCCCAAGCAGUUAGUGUCUGAAAGUGUCAUUAACUGUGUAAGGAUGACGCAGUCACGAUCGUUGGAGGCCCACACGGCCGACGACCGGGUCACUGGGCGCAAGCCCCCCUAUAACAAACGCUGCUAAUCGCGGCCGCGAUAAUACGCAGUCGACCAAAAACCGAACAACUGUUAACAAUGGAUAUCUCGGUUCUC
RNAcentral lists this unclassified non-coding RNA (398 nucleotides) under fungal sp. RNAcentral describes it as "partial internal transcribed spacer region". The stretch from base 1 to 46 matches the Rfam family "Eukaryotic small subunit ribosomal RNA", at positions 1786 to 1831 of the family's 1831-position model. Lineage: Eukaryota; Fungi. The record is from RNAcentral.